AAUCAACGGCAUCACGAGGAUCCCACUGUCUCCCCCCUCCAAUCAGUGAAACUGAUCUCUCCGUGAAGAAGCGGGGAUACAAAUAUAAGACGAGAAGACCCCAUGGAGCUUUAAACCCAACAGCACCCGUUUAUUUUCAUCCUCACAUAAGUUAGGUUAUGCCUGUUUGGUUUUAGGUUGGGGUGACCACGGAGUAUAAAACAACCUCCAUGAAAAAAGGACCAAAAAUCCUUAUUAGAGAAAGACAUUUCUAAAAUUAAUAAAUUAAUUUUUAAUGAUCCGAUAUUCGAUCAACGAACCAAGUUACCCUGGGGAUAACAGCGCAAUCCACUU
Molecule: ribosomal RNA, 333 nt
Filed under: Boophis elenae
Lineage: Eukaryota; Metazoa; Chordata; Amphibia; Anura; Mantellidae
Description: partial 16S ribosomal RNA
Rfam family: Bacterial large subunit ribosomal RNA
Source: RNAcentral